CCGGGCUUGAAAGUUAUGAAUACCAGAGAGGAGGUCCGCAAGGCAGGAAAUAGGUGUGCAUGGCUGUCGUCAGCUCGUGCCGUGAGGUGUUGGGUUAAUCCCGCAACGAGCGCACCCCUAUGUUUAGUUGCCAGCAUGUAAUGGUGGGGACUCUAAACAGACUGCCUGUGCAAACAGAGAGGAAGGAGGGGACGACGUCAAGUCAUCAUGGCCCUUACGUCCGGGGCUACACACGUGCUACAAUGGGCAGUACAGAGGGCAGCUACCUGGUAACAGGAUGCCAAUCUCAAAAAGCUGUUCACAGUUCGGAUAGAGGUCUGCAACUCGACCUCUUGAAGUUGGAUUCGCUAGUAAUCGCAUAUCAGCAAUGAUGCGGUGAAUACGUUCCCGGGCCUUGUACACACCGCCCGUCAAUGUCCAUGAAAGUUUGGGGUACCUGAAGUACGUAA
RNAcentral lists this ribosomal RNA (449 nucleotides) under uncultured Bacteroidota bacterium. Its description in RNAcentral is "bacterial SSU rRNA". It matches the Rfam family "Bacterial small subunit ribosomal RNA", at positions 975 to 1433 of the family's 1533-position model. The record is from RNAcentral. Lineage: Bacteria; Pseudomonadati; Bacteroidota.